GACGGAGGAUGCAAGCGUUAUCCGGAAUUAUUGGGCGUAAAGCGUCCGCAGGUGGCUGUUCAAGUCUGCUGUCAAAGCGCAGAGCUUAACUCUGUACAGGCGGUGGAAACUGAAGAGCUAGAGUAUGGUAGGGGUAGAGGGAAUUCCCGGUGUAGCGGUGAAAUGCGUAGAUAUCAGGAAGAACACCUAUGGCGAAGGCAGCACUCUGGGACGGUACUGACGCUGAGACGCGAAAGCGUGGGGAGCGAACAGG
This 253-nucleotide ribosomal RNA is filed under the name uncultured bacterium. Its description in RNAcentral is "partial 16S ribosomal RNA". It matches the Rfam family "Bacterial small subunit ribosomal RNA", at positions 524 to 776 of the family's 1533-position model. The record is from RNAcentral.